Molecule: non-coding RNA, 72 nt
Organism: Ictidomys tridecemlineatus (thirteen-lined ground squirrel)
Lineage: Eukaryota; Metazoa; Chordata; Mammalia; Rodentia; Sciuridae
Source: Rfam
UGGGCUGUAGCUCAGUGGUAGAGCGCUUGCCUAGCAUGCAUGAGGCACUGAGUUCGAUGCUCAGCACCACAU